This 276-nucleotide ribosomal RNA is filed under the name Escherichia coli. RNAcentral's name for it is "partial 23S ribosomal RNA". It matches the Rfam family "Bacterial large subunit ribosomal RNA", at positions 1630 to 1888 of the family's 2925-position model. The record is from RNAcentral. Lineage: Bacteria; Pseudomonadati; Pseudomonadota; Gammaproteobacteria; Enterobacterales; Enterobacteriaceae.
GGUAACAUCAAAUCGUACCCCAAACCGACACAGGUGGUCAGGUAGAGAAUACCAAGGCGCUUGAGAGAACUCGGGUGAAGGAACUAGGCAAAAUGGUGCCGUAACUUCGGGAGAAGGCACGCUGAUAUGUAGGUGAAGUCCCUCGCGGAUGGAGCUGAAAUCAGUCGAAGAUACCAGCUGGCUGCAACUGUUUAUUAAAAACACAGCACUGUGCAAACACGAAAGUGGACGUAUACGGUGUGACGCCUGCCCGGUGCCGGAAGGUUAAUUGAUGGG